GAUGUUCAAGUAAUACCAACUUUAUUGUGUUUCCACGGGCCCUUAAACUUAUCCAAUUUUCAUUACAAACCUAUAUACUUUCUCAACAACUUUUUUCAAAAUUAAGAGAUUUUUCAGAAUUUCUUUAACGGCUCAUUUUUUGGAUUUUUCUAACAACAGUAUAUGCAAAUUUAUUUAAUUAGAAGAAAAAAAACAUCCCACCACCACCAAAUCACACAACAAA
Molecule: long non-coding RNA, 223 nt
Filed under: Lathyrus oleraceus (garden pea)
Lineage: Eukaryota; Viridiplantae; Streptophyta; Magnoliopsida; Fabales; Fabaceae
Description: Pisum sativum (pea) long non-coding RNA (PSAT_LNC026564)
Source: RNAcentral